CCUACGGGUGGCAGCAGUGGGGAAUAUUGGGCAAUGGGCGCAAGCCUGACCCAGCAACGCCGCGUGAAGGAAGAAGGCUUUCGGGUUGUAAACUUCUUUUGACAGGGACGAGCAGAAGACGGUACCUGUCGAAUAAGCUACGGCUAACUACGUGCCAGCAGCCGCGGUAAUACGUAGGUGGCAAGCGUUGUCCGUAUUUACUGGGUGUAAAGGGCGUGUAGUCGGGCUGACAAGUCAGAUGUGAAAUCCGGGGGCUCAACCCCCGAACUGCAUGUGAAACUGUUGGUAUUGAGUAUCGGAGAGGCAGGCGGAAUUCCUAGUGUAGCGGUGAAAUGCGUAGAGAUUAGGAGGAACACCAGUGGCGAAGGCGGCCUGCUGGACGACAAUUGACGCUGAUGCACGAAAGCGUGGGUAUCAAACAGGAUUAGAUACCCGUGUAGUC
RNAcentral lists this ribosomal RNA (442 nucleotides) under uncultured bacterium. RNAcentral describes it as "partial 16S ribosomal RNA". It matches the Rfam family "Bacterial small subunit ribosomal RNA", at positions 338 to 795 of the family's 1533-position model. The record is from RNAcentral.